This 496-nucleotide ribosomal RNA is filed under the name uncultured bacterium. RNAcentral's name for it is "bacterial SSU rRNA". It matches the Rfam family "Bacterial small subunit ribosomal RNA", at positions 28 to 535 of the family's 1533-position model. The record is from RNAcentral.
GGUUAACGCUGGCGGCGUGCCUAACACAUGCAAGUCGAACGGUUCUAAGCGCGAGCUUAGGAUAGUGGCGAACGGGUGAGUAAAAGGUAGGAAUCUACCCCUUGGACGGAGAUAGCUACUGGAAACGGUAGGUAAACUUCGAUAAGCCCGAGAGGGGAAAGUGGUGAGACAGCCGAGGGAUGAGCCUACUCUCCAUCAGGUAGUUGGUGAGAUAAAAGCUUACCAAGCCGAUGACGGAUAACCGGUGUGAGAGCAUGAACGGUCACAAGGGCACUGAGAGACGGGCCCUACUCCUACGGGAGGCAGCAGUGGGGAAUCUUGGACAAUGGGCGAAAGCCUGAUCCAGCGACGCCGCGUGGAGGAAGAAGGUCCUUCGGGAUGUAAACUUCUGAACUAGCCGAAUAAAAGGACCUGUGGACGACACAGGAGAAGAAAGUAGGCUAGGAAAAGUCCCGGCUAACUACGUGGCCAGCAGCCGCGGUAACUAGUACUCUAU